Molecule: ribosomal RNA, 301 nt
Filed under: uncultured bacterium
Lineage: Bacteria
Description: partial 16S ribosomal RNA
Rfam family: Bacterial small subunit ribosomal RNA
Source: RNAcentral
CAGUCGCCGCGGGAAUACAGAGGGUGCGAGCGUUAAUCGGAUUUACUGGGCGUAAAGCGUGCGUAGGCGGCUUUUUAAGUCGGAUGUGAAAUCCCUGAGCUUAACUUAGGAAUUGCAUUCGAUACUGGGAAGCUAGAGUAUGGGAGAGGUUGGUAGAAUUCCAGGUGUAGCGGUGAAAUGCGUAGAGAUCUGGAGGAAUACCGAUGGCGAAGGCAGCCAUCUGGCCUAAUACUGACACUGAGGCACGAAAGCGUGGGGAGCAAACAGGAUUAGAUACCCGAGUAGUCCCUGUCUCUUAUAC